RNAcentral lists this long non-coding RNA (3363 nucleotides) under Musa acuminata (dwarf banana). The record is from RNAcentral. Lineage: Eukaryota; Viridiplantae; Streptophyta; Magnoliopsida; Zingiberales; Musaceae.
CGGAUCCCAUCAGAACUCCGAAGUUAAGCAUGCUUGGGCGAGAGUAGUACUAGGAUGGGUGACCCCCGAGGAAGUCCUCGUGUUGCACUCCUUUUUGCGUCCAGAGCGGCCAAAACCUCUCCUGUCGACCUCCGAGGCGAUGGUUUUGGGCCUCGAAAUUUGUCAUGAUGGUUUCGGCACGCGCUUGCCGUGUCUAGUACGCGGUCAGCCUCAUGGGCAUUGGAGAGAUCCGACGAUGGCGAUUCCGAGAUCGUUCGAGAGGUUUCGGGGCGCGCAAUGGGCUCCGGUCGUCGAUACGUCAUCUGCAACAUGCACAAAGGCGAGGGACGACGCAUAGAAAACGAGUGUGAUCAUACCAGCACUAAAGCACCAGAUCCCAUCAGAACUUCUAAGUUAAGCGUGCUUGGGCGAGAGUAGUACUAAGAUGGGUGACCCUUGGGAAGUCCUCAUGUUGCACUCCUUUUUGCGCCCCGAGCAGCCCAAACCUCUCUCGUCGACCUCCGAGGCGAUGGUUUUCGGCCUCCGAAUUUGCCGUGACCGCUACACUGUUAGUCUCGUGGGGCUCGAAAAGAGCUUUCCAGAAUGGGGCCGCAAUAGCGAUUCCGAGUUCGUUCGAGAAUGUCCCGAUGGUAUCGGCGUGCGCUUGUCAUGUCCGGUAUGCGGUCGGCCUCGUGGGAAUCAGAGAGAUCCGACAAUGGCGAUUCUGAGAUCGUUCGAGAGGUUUCGGGGCGCGCAAUGGGCUCCGGUCGUUGAUACACCGUCCGUGACGUGCACAAUGGCGAGGGACGAUGCAUAGAAAACGAGAGCGGUCACACAAGCACUAUAGCACUGGAUCCCAUCAGAACUCCGAAGUUAAGCAUGCUUGGGAGAGAGUAGUACUAGGAUGUGUGACCCCCUAGGAAGUCCUCGUGUUGCACUCCUUUUUGUGCCCCGAGCGACCAAAACCUCUCCCGUCGACCUCCGUGGAUAUGGUUUUGGGCCUCGGAAUUUGCCGUGAUCGCUACGCUGUUAGUCUCGUGGGGCUCGGAGAGAGCUUUCCGGAAUGGGGUCGCAAUAGCGAUUCCGAGUUCGUUCGAGAAAGUCCCGAUGGUUUCGGCGCGCGCUUGUCGUGUCCGGUACGCGGUCGACCUCGUGGGAAUCGGUGAGAUCUGACAAUGGCGAUUCCGAGAUCGUUCGAGAGGUUUCGGGGCGCGCAAUGGGCUCCGGUUGUCGAUACGCCGUCCGCGACAUGCACAAAGGCGUGGGACGACGCACACAAAACAAGUUUGAUCAUACCAGCACUAAAGCCCUAGAUCCCAUCAGAACUCCGAAGUUAAGAGUGCUUGGGCGAGAGUAGUACUAGGAUGGGUGACCCCUUGGGAAGUCCUCUUAUUGCACUCCUUUUUGCACCCCGAGCGGCCAAAACCUCUCCCGUCGACCUCCGAGGCGAUGGUUUUGGGCCUCGGAAUUUGUCGUGACCUCUACGCUAUCAGUCUCGUGAGGCUUGGAGAGAGCUUUCCGGAAUGGGGCCGCAAUAGCGAUUCCGAGUUCGUUCGAGAAAGUCCCGAUGGUUUCGGCGUGCGCUUGCCGUGUCUGGUACGUGCUCGGCCUCAUGGGCAUCGGAGAGAUCCGACAAUGCCGAUUCCGAGAUCGUUCGAGAGGUUUCAGGGUGCGCAAUGGGCUCCGAUCGUCGAAACGCUAUCCACGACGUGCACAAAGGCAAGGGAUGACGCACAGAAAAUGAGUGCGAUCAUACCAGCACUAAAGCACCGGAUCCCAUUAGAACUCCGAAGUUAAGCGUGCUUGGGCGAGAGUAGUACUAGGAUGGGUGAUGUAACGUCCCAUUAGUCCCACAUCGGAAGUGGGCAAUGUGUAUGAUUAGCUUAUAAGAGCCAGAUGAGUGUACUACAUUAACUCCCGCUUAAGCAUUUUGGUCCAUGGUUGAAGGACCAAAAUGGAGUUAUUGGCCAGUUGGCUCAUCAGACUCGGGUCGUGACAUUUGGUAUCAGAGCCGACCUAGCAUUUGGGCAGGGUGAGAGGGCUCGAGUAGGAAAGGGCUACCUGUGGAUGGAGUCAAAGAACUCAUCACGGCGUGGAGCCACCACUGAGUUAAUCCUCACAUGCACUAUGCUAGGGUUCGAUCUGGGAUAUGUUGGGCCUUGACGAGGACGUCAAGCUAAUUGAGUUGGGAAGUGUAACAACCUAUUAGUCCCACAUCGGAAGUGGGCAAUGUGUAUGAUUAGCUUAUAAGGGCCUGAUGAGUGUACUACGUUAACUCCCGUUUAAGAAUUUUGGUUCGUGGUUGAAGGACCAAAAUGGAGUUAUUGGUCAAUUGGCUCAUCAGACUCGGGUCGUGACAUCACCCAUCACCCAUCCUAGAACCAUAUCUCAUCAUUGUAUGUUUAAGAAAAAUUUUUAGAUGAUGAUUUCAUUAUUCUCCUGCUAUACGUUAACGAUAUAUUUAUGGUUGGCCAUAAUGCUGGAAGAAUCGAAAAGCGUAAAGGAGAGUUAAGCAAGUCUUUUGGCCGCUCGGGGCGCAAAAAGGAGUGCAACACGAGGACUUCCCAGGGGGUCACCCAUCCUAGUACUACUCUCGCCCAAGCACGCUUAACUUCGGAGUUCUGAUGGGAUCCGGUGCUUUAGUGCUGGUAUGAUCGCACUCGCUUUGUUUGCGUCGUCCCUCGCCUUUGUGCACGCCGCGGACGGCGUAUCGAUGACUGGAGCCCAUUACGCGCCCCGAAACCUAUCGAACGAUCUCGGAAUCGCCAUCGUCGGAUCUCUCCGAUGCCCACGAGGCCGACCGCGUACCGGACACGGCAAGCGCGCGCCGAAACCAUCCGGACUUUCUCGAACGAACUCGGAAUCGCUAUUGCGGCCCCAUUCCGGAAAGCUCUCUCCGAGCCCCACGAGACUGACUGCGUAGCGGUCACGGCGAAUUCCGAGGCCCAAAACCAUCGCCUCGGAGGUCGACGGGAGAGGUUUUGGCAGCUCGGGGCGCAAAAAGGAGUGCAACACGAGGACUUCCCAGGGGGUCACCCAUCCUAGAACCAUAUCUGAUCAUUGCAUGUUUACGAAGAAAUUUUUAGAUGAUGAUUUCAUUAUUCUCCUGCUAUACGUUAACGAUAUAUUUAUUGUUGGCCAUAAUGCUGGAAGAAUCGAAAAGCGUAAAGGAGAGUUAAGCAAGUCUUUUGGCCGCUCGGGGCGCAAAAAGGAGUGCAACACGAGGACUUCCCAGGGGGUCACCCAUCCUAGUACUACUCUCGCCCAAGCACGCUUAACUUCGGAGUUCUGAUGGGAUCCGAUGCUUUAGUGCUGGUAUGAUCGCACUCGUUUUGUUUGCGUCCUCCCUCCCCUUUGUGCACGUCGCGGACGGCGUAUCGACGA